This 498-nucleotide ribosomal RNA is filed under the name uncultured bacterium. RNAcentral's name for it is "bacterial SSU rRNA". It matches the Rfam family "Bacterial small subunit ribosomal RNA", at positions 28 to 526 of the family's 1533-position model. The record is from RNAcentral.
GAUGAACGCUGGCGGCGUGCUUAACACAUGCAAGUCGAGCGAGAAGUUAUUGAAUGAUCCUUCGGGUGAAUGAUAUAACGGACAGCGGCGGACGGGUGAGUAACGCGUGGGUAACCUGCCCUGUACAGAGGGAUAGCCACUGGAAACGGUGAUUAAUACCUCAUAAGACUAAGAAGUCGCAUGACUUAUUGGUCAAAGCUCCGGCGGUACAGGAUGGACCCGCGUCUGAUUAGCUAGUUGGUAAGGUAACGGCUUACCAAGGCAACGAUCAGUAGCCGGCCUGAGAGGGUGAACGGCCACACUGGAACUGAGACACGGUCCAGACUCCUACGGGAGGCAGCAGUGGGGAAUAUUGCACAAUGGGCGAAAGCCUGAUGCAGCAACGCCGCGUGAGCGAAGAAGGCCUUCGGGUCGUAAAGCUCUGUCCUCAGGGAAGAAUUUUGACGGUACCUGAGGAGGAAGCCCCGGCUAACUACGUGCCAGCCGCCGCCGUAACAC